This 497-nucleotide ribosomal RNA is filed under the name uncultured bacterium. Its description in RNAcentral is "partial 16S ribosomal RNA". It matches the Rfam family "Bacterial small subunit ribosomal RNA", at positions 28 to 507 of the family's 1533-position model. The record is from RNAcentral.
GAUGAACGCUGGCGGCGUGCCUAAUACAUGCAAGUCGAGCGAACGGACGAGAAGCUUGCUUCUCUGAUGUUAGCGGCGGACGGGUGAGUAACACGUGGAUAACCUACCUAUAAGACUGGGAUAACUUCGGGAAACCGGAGCUAAUACCGGAUAAUAUUUUGAACCGCAUGGUUCAAAAGUGAAAGACGGUCUUGCUGUCACUUAUAGAUGGAUCCGCGCUGCAUUAGCUAGUUGGUAAGGUAACGGCUUACCAAGGCAACGAUGCAUAGCCGACCUGAGAGGGGGAUCGGCCACACUGGAACUGAGACACGGUCCAGACUCCGACGGGAGGCACAAGUAGGGAAACUUCCGCAAUGGGCGAAAGCCUGACGGAGCAACGCCGCGUGAGUGAUGAAGGGCUUCGGAUCGUAAAACUCUGUUAUUAGGGAAGAACAUAUGUGUAAGUAACUGUGCACAUCUUGACGGUAUAUAAUCAGAAAGCCACGGCUAACUACGUG